This is a long non-coding RNA of Protobothrops mucrosquamatus (brown spotted pit viper), 571 nucleotides long. RefSeq lists it as uncharacterized. The record is from RefSeq and is a predicted model, not a curated record. The transcript has 2 exons. NCBI's taxonomy places the organism in Eukaryota, Metazoa, Chordata, Lepidosauria, Squamata, Viperidae.
CCCCCCCCUGGAGGUAGCCGCUUGCCUCUGAGGCGAAAGGUUGCGGCCCGGGAAGGAGUUUAGCGACUGGUUUAAGAGAAGAAAUGGGGCGCGGGAAGCGGGCAUUGACCAGACAAGCCCGGGCUUCUGGCGGAGCCCAGGAAAAGGCCAUUAUCACAGCCUUUCCGGUUUGAUUUUGUUAUCUAUCUUGAAAUUUUCUUCAUGCAAGAUCCUGGGGGAAAGCUCAUAACUGGGAGUGCAUCUUAAAUUGACAAUCAAUAUUCUCAGCUCUAAUAUGGGUAAGGUUACCUACGCCAUUUCUUCUGAAACAACAUUUGAAGACUCUUUUUUUUCAUUUUCAGAACACUUAGAAUCAGUUUGCAUUAAACUAAGAGAAAUUACUUGUUUAUUUUGAACGUUACAAACAAAAAUAAUAAUUAUUUAUGACAACAAGCUGCAUCAUCCGUACUUUCAUUUAUUCUUGGUAUAUAAAUUAACUUGGUUGGUGUGAGAAGUAGCGUUUUAUUCAUUUUGAUAUAUUCCUAAUCAUAGUAUUUCCCAUGUACUAGAAAUAAAAAUCUCUGUGCCUCAA